This 253-nucleotide ribosomal RNA is filed under the name uncultured bacterium. RNAcentral describes it as "partial 16S ribosomal RNA". It matches the Rfam family "Bacterial small subunit ribosomal RNA", at positions 524 to 776 of the family's 1533-position model. The record is from RNAcentral.
GACAGAGGUGCCGAGCGUUAGGCGGAAUCACUGAGCUUAAAGCGUGUGUAGGCGGGUCGUUAAGUGUCUUGUGAAAUCCCACCGCUCAACGGUGGAACGGCUGGGCAUACUGGCGACCUUGAGAGACCUAGGGGCGAGCGGAACAAGCGGUGGAGCGGUGAAAUGCGUAGAUAUCGGGAGGAACACCAGUGGCGAAGGCGGCCUUCUGGACCAGUACUGACGCUCAUGCACGAAAGCGUGGGGAGCAAACAGG